Molecule: long non-coding RNA, 287 nt
Filed under: Phoenix dactylifera (date palm)
Lineage: Eukaryota; Viridiplantae; Streptophyta; Magnoliopsida; Arecales; Arecaceae
Description: long non-coding RNA (PDAC_LNC008217)
Source: RNAcentral
GAGGGCAUCCAUGUCACCGUUUUCAGCAAGAUUUGCCAGAUCCUUGCUGACUCCUUCGGUGUGGUCGCCUUGCUUCCCUUUAGGAGAUUUGCAGUCCCUCCUAAAGUGCCCCAUCUUCCCGCAGUUCCAGCACUUCGCUCCCUUGUUCUGAGGUGCUCGAGACCUGCUGGAUCUCGACUUCGAGUCGCUUCGAAAUCGACCGUCCUUCUUUUGUCUUCCCCGGUUAGAGAUGUUUAGUGCACUUCCAGACGACUCCGUAGCUCCAGAAGAUUUCCUUCUUGUUUCUU